UACGUAGGGUGCGAGCGUUAAUCGGAAUUACUGGGCGUAAAGUGUGCGCAGGUGGCUUCGCAAGUCGAGUGUGAGAUCCCCGGGCUUAACCUGGGAAUUGCGCUCGAAACUACGGAGCUGGAGUAUGGCAGAGGGAGGUGGAAUUCCACGUGUAGCGGUGAAAUGCGUAGAGAUGUGGAGGAACACCGAUGGCGAAGGCAGCCUCCUGGGCCAGCACUGACGCUCAUGCACGAAAGCGUGGGGAGCAAACAGG
Molecule: ribosomal RNA, 253 nt
Filed under: uncultured bacterium
Lineage: Bacteria
Description: partial 16S ribosomal RNA
Rfam family: Bacterial small subunit ribosomal RNA
Source: RNAcentral